This 274-nucleotide ribosomal RNA is filed under the name uncultured bacterium. RNAcentral's name for it is "partial 16S ribosomal RNA". It matches the Rfam family "Bacterial small subunit ribosomal RNA", at positions 523 to 796 of the family's 1533-position model. The record is from RNAcentral.
AUACGGAGGGGGCUAGCGUUGUUCGGAAUUACUGGGCGUAAAGCGUACGUAGGCGGACUGAUCAGUUGGGGGCGAAAUCCCAGGGCUUAACCCUGGAACUGCCUUCAAUACUGUCAGUCUUGCGUUUGGGAGAGGUGAGUGGAAUUCCUAGUGUAGAGGUGAAAUUCAUAGAUAUUAGGAGGAACACCAGUGGCGAAGGCGGCUCACUGGCCCAUUACUGACGCUGAGGUACGAAAGCGUGGGGAGCAAACAGGAUUAGAUACCCCAGUAGUCC